UCAUUCGAAUAAAAAGUGUUUUUUGGCAUAAUGUAAAAAAUGAAAUAAUUCGGUGGGAUUCAAACUACGCGAUCACCGUCGCUUUGCGUAUUUUGCCAACCUUACCAGGUAUUCCGGGAUAAUCUUAGAGCCAUCGUUGAUGAACUGACCGUUUUCAUCAUACUUGAGUACCGAUAAAUUGCCAUCAGUUAUCUCCAGCUGUUUAAUGGCCUCUUCUACUAGAUCCACAGACUCUAAAGUGAUGGAUUUUUCAAGCAAUUUAUGGCCAUCAGUUAUUACAAACUAAAAAGAUAUAAAUGCAAAACAGAAAUAGUUUUGACGUCAAAUUACGUUUAUUUUUGCUAUCUACUUUUGCACAAUGAAAUUCUAGGUAUGUAUUCGCCAUCUACUACGACACUUGAUUUUCGACAAAAAUUUGCGUAGAUAUAAAUAUUUCCAAAACACUAAACCAACGAAAAAGUUUACCUUUACAUUGUCACCUGCGAAAGUUUCUGCAGUUAAAUUUCCGCUUUCGUCAUACUCUCUAUAGUCUAUGUUGCUAGAGCUGCUAUAAAAAGCCGUUAGAUUCUUGAGGUUGUUUUCAUGCCAAAAUGGGUACUGUAAAAAUAUCGCUUUUAAUAAAAGCUGAACCAAACGGAUACACCAGCACACCUUCGGCCAAUGAAGUUCAAUCGUUCUGAUUUCAACGAGUUUUCCAUUUUCCGCAUAAACAUUUUCACUUCCUAUUAGAGUAAAGUUGCGAAACUCUUCAAUUUCUAUCUAAAGAUGUGACAAAGCUUGAGUUAAGUAUUCGAAAAAUUACCGUGAUCAAGACGAGGACUUAGUAAUGAAAAAAAAUCCGCCAAUGAGUCCGCAAGGACUAGACUGCUCAUUAGAAGGGCGUAUAAGCACUUAUGCAUAAACAUCAUGAACUUGCUGAGAAUGAGAAUGAGAAUGAGAAUGCUCUUGGCUCAGUACUGGACGUUUGUAAAUGCUACUAUUGAUAAAGGCUACUCACAGAUCA
Long non-coding RNA from Dendroctonus ponderosae (mountain pine beetle), 1003 nucleotides. RefSeq lists it as uncharacterized. The record is from RefSeq and is a predicted model, not a curated record. Lineage: Eukaryota; Metazoa; Arthropoda; Insecta; Coleoptera; Curculionidae. The transcript is spliced from 3 exons.